CUCUCCUGGAAUCAAAUGGUAAAAAAUAUUCCUCAUGAGAAAAAAUGUCCAAGAAAGGCAUUCUUUGCUUCAAAGAAUAACUAGCUCUGACACGAACAGCCAAUUAAACAUGAAGCAUUCUCAGCAUUUUUGCUAGACACUAAGCUGGAAAAUACAAUUACAGUUAACAUCAUAAAGCCUACACAGCAACAUCUGAAGCUCUCGAGCUUCCUGCAGACACAUCUGUAGCAUGUAAUAAUUUGCCUCGGGUCUCAGACAGAAGCAGAACUGGAGUCAGAUGCCAGAAACCAGGAAUUCUCCAUCUCCUUUAAAACAAGAGGCAGAAAACCUUAAACAGGAGCUUAAAAGCACAAAAUAAUUUCUACCAUUGUUCUCUUUGCUACAAAAUAAGGUCAGUAUUGUCAUAACGCAUGAAGUAAUCCAUGGAUUGAAGUGUGGAGAUGAACAGAAACCUCACCAUGGGCUUUCCAUAUAAAGUAGUGUCCCACACUUCAGCUUGCAGGGAUGUAAGAUCCAUGUGCUGACUGUAUGGUAAUUUACAACGCGAGCAAGCUCGCUUGGAUUCCAAAUGGAGGAUUACAAACAUUGCAAAUCUCUAACGAAACACAAAGGUCAUAAUUGGCAGCAAGAGAUUUAAUAAACGUGCAGGAUUAACUCCUUUCUGAUUCACAUCUCUGCUCAUUUUUUAAAGAAAAUUUAAGCUGAGACAUGAGAACAAUGCAAGGAAACUGCCAACACCGUCAUGCUCCCAGUAGGUUCUGCAAUGCAGGCAGAGCAGUCAGCAGUGUUAUUCCUUUCUGGCCAGGUGAUCAGCAUCAGCACGGUGCAAACUUGGAACAGAACUAUUAAGAACUAUUGGUCCACAACAGACAAAGUUUAUCCUCACAGAGGACUGACAUUUUUUCUCAGUGGAAAUUCUACUGGAGCCAGUUGUUAAUUGAAUGAGACCAGAGACAACUUGUCAUUUUGGUUCCCAAGAUGUAUUUUGUUUCAAAGCAGUGUGAUGCGUUCAUUCCAGAGCGGCAGGCUGCAGGAUGCUCCUGCAAACAAGGAAUGCAGGACAAGCCAAACACACUGUGACAGGAACACUCCUGACUUUGAGAGAAGACACGCUGGGAGGCAGCACUAAGACUUAGCCCGGGUCCUGCCUUACCUUCCCGGAGCAGAUCAUCAGCCGUGCUGACUCCGUGCUCUAUCAGCUUCUGGCAUUCGUCCAGUGGUUUGAUGCUCUCUUGUUCUAUAGCAUCCACUUCCUGCAGCAGUGACAACAGUCGCUCAUCCAACAGCUUCUUUAGGGUCCCUUUUAAAUCAUUAAAAUGUUGCUCGAGUA
Coturnix japonica (Japanese quail) is the source of this 1330-nucleotide non-coding RNA. The record is from RefSeq and is a predicted model, not a curated record. Lineage: Eukaryota; Metazoa; Chordata; Aves; Galliformes; Phasianidae.